This 1211-nucleotide long non-coding RNA is filed under the name Ananas comosus (pineapple). RNAcentral's name for it is "long non-coding RNA (ACOM_LNC017048)". Lineage: Eukaryota; Viridiplantae; Streptophyta; Magnoliopsida; Poales; Bromeliaceae. The record is from RNAcentral.
UUCCUGUAUACGAAGCGACAGCUGUACCUGUAAACAUACAAUACUACAAACAGUAGUAUAGAGCUGCUCGAGUAAACAAAAGCUAAACAAACUAAGCUUCACAUACAUAGUUCAAAAAUCAAAACACAGAGUUACUCGCACUGGCGAGUUAAGUACUAUGUACAUAAGCUCGAAAUAAAACAACUACCUGCAGUAGGGUGCCUCUAGCUCUGCUCGGCGGGUAGGGCUCUAACUCGCGACGCCCUUGCCUCGAUCCUGAUCCGCGGAAGGCGCAGCAGCCGAAACCUGUGGCUCUGCAAAACAGGGGUAACAAUUGGGCGUGAGAACUACUGUAAAAACAAGUAGUCCUCAGUGGGUACCGCCCAAAACAACAUUGGUCCACCCACUAAGUCUACAGAAUGGAGCAAGAAUAGUCGGAAAAGCAGGAAGUAAACUCUACCGCUAUCAAUCACUACACUAUCAUGCUCUACACUAACCAACUGUAGGAAAUGUCAAAUCUGACCCAAUCCAAUCGGGACUGUAAAUACACCCGUCCCUGCCCAGUUGCGACUAUCCAGCUACCUCCACACUAACUGGUCCGUGGAGAGCAAGUCCAACCGGCAUGAGCGACACCAACGCGAAAGCACAAAGCCCGUCUCCGGAGUGGCACUCGUGGGCGCUACCCAACCGAGUAUGCAGCGUAUCUCUGUCGAGCUCAAUCAGGCUCUGUCAAGCCAAAGUCCAAGUAACCGACUCUAACUGGUCUAACAACAAACAAGUAACGUACCCUCGGCACAAUCUGACGCCAAAGCGGCGAACCGGGCCCACCACCGUCAACCCCAACGGCGCCCAAAAGUCCGAAACAGCCCAAACGGCCCUGUAAAAAUCCACUCGGCGAAUCAGCACGAGCGUAAAUAUAUUCUAAACUACCUGGAGUACUCAUCUCGAGGAUACUGCGACAGUAUAAUUUUAUAACGGCUCCUAGAGCUAAAUCAGGCAGUUUAAAUAAGUGAUAGGUCCAAAUCGCAGGUUUUCUCCUAAUUCAAAUUUCAAGUCCAACAUAUAUAAACUACUCAAUUUAUUAUCACAUACUCCAAAUUCAGAUAUACAAUCAAUCAUAUAAUCCAUGAAUUCGAGUUAGAAUAGAUUAUCCAAAUCGAAAUCUAUACAUGUCGACGAUUAUGAACUUAGGAGUAAAACCGAUGUAAACCCACCUCAAAGCUAAUCCCUGG